UACGUAGGGACCAAGCGUUGUUCGGAUUUACUGGGCGUAAAGGGCGCGUAGGCGGCAAUUCAAGUCAUCUGUGAAAUCUCCGGGCUUAACUCGGAACGGUCAGAUGAUACUGCUUUGCUAGAGUGCGGAAGGGGCAAUCGGAAUUCUUGGUGUAGCGGUGAAAUGCGUAGAUAUCAGGAGGAACACCGAUGGCGAAGGCAGGUCUCUGGGCCGAUACUGACGCUGAGGAGCGAAAGCGUGGGGAGCGAACAGG
Molecule: ribosomal RNA, 253 nt
Filed under: uncultured bacterium
Lineage: Bacteria
Description: partial 16S ribosomal RNA
Rfam family: Bacterial small subunit ribosomal RNA
Source: RNAcentral